UACGAAGGGGGCGAGCGUUGCUCGGAUUUACUGGGCGUAAAGGGCGCGUAGGCGGUUCGUAAAGUCAGACGUGAAAUUCCUGGGCUCAACCUGGGGGCUGCGUUUGAUACGGGCGGACUUGAGUGCGGAAGAGGGUCGUGGAAUUCCCAGUGUAGAGGUGAAAUUCGUAGAUAUUGGGAAGAACACCGGUGGCGAAGGCGGCGACCUGGUCCGAUACUGACGCUGAGGCGCGAAAGCGUGGGGAGCAAACAGG
Molecule: ribosomal RNA, 253 nt
Filed under: uncultured bacterium
Lineage: Bacteria
Description: partial 16S ribosomal RNA
Rfam family: Bacterial small subunit ribosomal RNA
Source: RNAcentral